This 227-nucleotide long non-coding RNA is filed under the name Gossypium barbadense (sea-island cotton). RNAcentral describes it as "long non-coding RNA (GBAR_LNC007030)". The record is from RNAcentral. Lineage: Eukaryota; Viridiplantae; Streptophyta; Magnoliopsida; Malvales; Malvaceae.
UUAGGAAUAGAAUAGGAUACGAGAGACAUGUCACUAGGAACCCAUGUGUAUAUGCGAUUAUGUAAUCUGAGUGUUUGGCUGGGUAGUCCGACAUGUGUUGCGGAUACUUGACAGCUUGUCUGAGCAGCAUUGUGUAGCUACAUCCUGACUGACAGCUUGUGUUAGCAAGCCCGUGAAUAGCUCAAAAACGAGCCCAUAUGUAUUAUGAGAUAUGAGGUAGCUUCGGC